Small nuclear RNA from Manis pentadactyla (Chinese pangolin), 104 nucleotides. The record is from RefSeq and is a predicted model, not a curated record. Lineage: Eukaryota; Metazoa; Chordata; Mammalia; Pholidota; Manidae.
GUGCUCACUUUGGCAGCACAUAUACUAAAACUGGAACAUUCCUCAGAUUAUCAUGGCCCCUGCCCAAAGAAGACAUGCAAAUUCAGGAAGCAUCCCAUGUGUUU